Molecule: long non-coding RNA, 199 nt
Organism: Armigeres subalbatus
Lineage: Eukaryota; Metazoa; Arthropoda; Insecta; Diptera; Culicidae
Exons: 3
Source: RefSeq, a predicted model, not a curated record
ACAAAAUCGAUAAGUCGCCUUAAAAUCUAAAAGCUAAACUAAAUUACAAUUGUUUCUAUUCUAAACUAAAAAUAAUUAUUAUAAAGUUGGGAAGUUCUUAUUACUACAGUGGUUUAUAUUAGAUUCCCAACAUAAAUUGUUUCGAGCCUAACCCUAAUUCCCAUCUAACGUAAAAAGCGCACAAUCACGAAAUCGACAG